RNAcentral lists this transfer RNA (72 nucleotides) under Dermacentor silvarum. Its description in RNAcentral is "transfer RNA tryptophan (anticodon CCA)". It matches the Rfam family "tRNA". From Rfam's summary of the family: Transfer RNA (tRNA) molecules are approximately 80 nucleotides in length. Their secondary structure includes four short double-helical elements and three loops (D, anti-codon, and T loops). The record is from RNAcentral. Lineage: Eukaryota; Metazoa; Arthropoda; Arachnida; Ixodida; Ixodidae.
GACUCGGUGGCGCAACGGUAGCGCGUCUGAUCCCAGAUCAGAAGGUUGCGUGUUGGAAUCACGUCGGGGUCA